This 72-nucleotide transfer RNA is filed under the name Caudoviricetes sp. Its description in RNAcentral is "tRNA-Ile". It matches the Rfam family "tRNA". Rfam says of the family: Transfer RNA (tRNA) molecules are approximately 80 nucleotides in length. Their secondary structure includes four short double-helical elements and three loops (D, anti-codon, and T loops). Further hydrogen bonds mediate the characteristic L-shaped molecular structure. tRNAs have two regions of fundamental functional importance: the anti-codon, which is responsible for specific mRNA codon recognition, and the 3' end, to which the tRNAs corresponding amino acid is attached (by aminoacyl-tRNA synthetases). tRNAs cope with the degeneracy of the genetic code in two manners: having more than one tRNA (with a specific anti-codon) for a particular amino acid; and 'wobble' base-pairing, i.e. permitting non-standard base-pairing at the 3rd anti-codon position. Lineage: Duplodnaviria; Heunggongvirae; Uroviricota; Caudoviricetes. The record is from RNAcentral.
UGGAACAUAGCUCAGUGGUAGAGCUUCCGGCUUAUAUCCGGAGAGUCUUGGGUUCGAUUCCCAAUGUUCCGA